RNAcentral lists this ribosomal RNA (433 nucleotides) under uncultured bacterium. RNAcentral describes it as "partial 16S ribosomal RNA". It matches the Rfam family "Bacterial small subunit ribosomal RNA", at positions 29 to 507 of the family's 1533-position model. The record is from RNAcentral.
AACGAACGCUGGCGGCAGGCCUAACACAUGCAAGUCGAGCGAGGACUUCGGUUCUAGCGGCGGACGGGGGAGUAACGCGUGGGAAUGUGCCCUUCUCUACGGAAUAGCCCUGGGAAACUGGGAGUAAUACCGUAUACGCCCUAUUGGGGAAAGAUUUAUCGGAGAAGGAUCAGCCCGCGUUGGAUUAGGUAGUUGGUGGGGUAAUGGCCUACCAAGCCGACGAUCCAUAGCUGGUUUGAGAGGAUGAUCAGCCACACUGGGACUGAGACACGGCCCAGACUCCUACGGGAGGGAGCAGUGGGGAAUCUUAGACAAUGGGGGCAACCCUGAUCUCGCCAUGCCGGGUGAGUGAUGAAGGCCUUAGGGUUGUAAAGCUCUUUCAGCUGGGAAGAUAAUGACGGUACCAGCAGAAGAAGCACCGGCUAACUCCGUG